Molecule: ribosomal RNA, 905 nt
Filed under: uncultured Iodophanus
Lineage: Eukaryota; Fungi; Ascomycota; Pezizomycetes; Pezizales; Pezizaceae
Description: SSU rRNA
Rfam family: Eukaryotic small subunit ribosomal RNA
Source: RNAcentral
UGUAGUCAUAUGCUUGUCUCAAAGAUUAAGCCAUGCAUGUCUAAGUAUAAGCAAUCUAUACAGUGAAACUGCGAAUGGCUCAUUAAAUCAGUUAUCGUUUAUUUGAUGAUACCUUACUACUUGGAUAACCGUGGUAAUUCUAGAGCUAAUACAUGCAUAAAAGUCCCGACCUCUGGAAGGGAUGUAUUUAUUAGAUAAAAAACCAAUGUCUUCGGACUCCUUGGUGAUUCAUAGUAACUUAACGAAUCGCAUAGCCUUGUGCUGGCGAUGGUUCAUUCAAAUUUCUGCCCUAUCAACUUUCGAUGGUAGGAUAUAGGCCUACCAUGGUUUCAACGGGUAACGGGGAAUUAGGGUUCUAUUCCGGAGAGGGAGCCUGAGAAACGGCUACCACAUCCAAGGAAGGCAGCAGGCGCGCAAAUUACCCAAUCCCGACACGGGGAGGUAGUGACAAUAAAUACUGAUACAGGGGGCUUCUGCCUCUUGUAAUUGGAAUGAGUACAAUUUAAAUCUCUUAACGAGGAACAAUUGGAGGGCAAGUCUGGUGCCAGCAGCCGCGGUAAUUCCAGCUCCAAUAGCGUAUAUUAAAGUUGUUGCAGUUAAAAAGCUCGUAGUUGAACCUUGGGCCUGGCCGGCCGGUCUGCCUCACCGCAUGCACUGGUUUGGCCGGGCCUUUCCUUCUGGCUAACCGCAUGCCCUUUACUGGGUGUGUUGGGGAACCAGGACUUUUACUUUGAAAAAAUUAGAGUGUUCAAAGCAGGCAUUAGCUCGAAUACAUUAGCAUGGAAUAAUAGAAUAGGACGUGUGGUUCUAUUUUGUUGGUUUCUAGGACCACCGUAAUGAUUAAUAGGGAUAGUCGGGGGGCAUCAGUAUUCAAUCGUCAGAGGUGAAAUUCUUGGAUCGAUUGA